UGCCAGCCGCCGCGGUAAUACGGAGGGUCCGAGCGUUAUCCGGAAUCAUUGGGUUUAAAGGGUCCGUAGGCGGGAAUCUAAGUCAGUGGUGAAAUCUUGCAGCUCAACUGUAAAAUUGCCAUUGAUACUGGAUUUCUUGAAUUAGUGUGAAGUGGUUAGAAUGUGUAGUGUAGCGGUGAAAUGCAUAGAUAUUCGGAGGAACACCAAUUGCGAAGGCAGUUCACUGGACCGUGAUCGACGCUGAGGAGCGAAAGCUAGGGGAGCAAACAGGAUUAGAUA
Molecule: ribosomal RNA, 279 nt
Filed under: uncultured bacterium
Lineage: Bacteria
Description: partial 16S ribosomal RNA
Rfam family: Bacterial small subunit ribosomal RNA
Source: RNAcentral